GAACGCUAGCUACAGGCUUAACACAUGCAAGUCGAGGGGAAACGAUAUUGGAAGCUUGCUUCUGAUAGGCGUCGACCGGCGCACGGGUGAGUAACGCGUAUCCAACCUGCCCAUCACUUGGGGGAUAACCUUGCGAAAGUAAGACUAAUACCCAAUGACGUCUCUAGAAGACAUCUGAAAGAGAUUAAAGAUUUAUCGGUGAUGGAUGGGGAUGCGUCUGAUUAGCUUGUUGGCGGGGUAACGGCCCACCAAGGCGACGAUCAGUAGGGGUUCUGAGAGGAAGGUCCCCCCACAUUGGAACUGAGACACGGUCCAAACUCCUACGGGAGGCAGCAGUGAGGAAUAUUGGUCAAUGGACGAGAGUCUGAACCAGCCAAGUAGCGUGCAGGAUGACGGCCCUAUGGGUUGUAAACUGCUUUUAUAAGGGAAUAAAGUGAGUCUCGUGAGACUUUUUGCAUGUACCUUAUGAAUAAGGACCGGCUAAUUCCGUG
RNAcentral lists this ribosomal RNA (491 nucleotides) under uncultured bacterium. RNAcentral describes it as "bacterial SSU rRNA". It matches the Rfam family "Bacterial small subunit ribosomal RNA", at positions 31 to 507 of the family's 1533-position model. The record is from RNAcentral.